GCCUGACUCAUGAAGCGUGGAGCGACCCAGGAACAUCCCAGCUCCUCAUGUCCCACAUUCUUCAGGCUUUCUCUUAGUUUUGGCAUGUGCAUGUAAAUGUCAACAGAUCAAUAAAGGCAAAAACCAGGAGAUCCCAUAAAUCCCGCUGAGCCUGUCAUAGCUAUCAAAUUAUACCCAGAUAAAGCUUCUGGUGGCUAAUGACAUGGCCAUCACCCAGCGUGGACGUGGGCAGGAGGGGCUCUCCGGGAGCAUCUGGUCUGCUGUGGAGACACUUGUCAUCUGGAGGCUCUGUGGCUCUAAUGGAGGGUGAUGCUUUGAACGCGACUAUCUCCCCCAUAAAAAAAUAAAUAAAUAAUAAGUAUAAUUUAAAAAUAAACAAAGAUCUGGAUUUGCAGGCUA
Long non-coding RNA from Homo sapiens (human), 399 nucleotides. RefSeq annotates it as long independently transcribed non-coding RNA 1672. NCBI's taxonomy places the organism in Eukaryota, Metazoa, Chordata, Mammalia, Primates, Hominidae. The record is from RefSeq and is marked validated. The transcript has 2 exons.